This is a long non-coding RNA of Gallus gallus (chicken), 1349 nucleotides long. NCBI's taxonomy places the organism in Eukaryota, Metazoa, Chordata, Aves, Galliformes, Phasianidae. The record is from Ensembl.
GUAUCUUGCUGGUGAUCCCUAUGUAUCUGAGGCCUUCUGAAGGAUAAAAUUCAGUGCUGGAGCUGCAGCUCUGCUGUUCCCAAGCUUGUUUCCUACAUCUCUGCAUGGUCCUGCCCUGCUGGGAUCUUCUUCUCAGGGGAAAUGCUGCUUGAAAGAGAGCACUGCAGGCAGGCAGUGCACAUGGAAUGGCAGAUCUGUAAGCGUUGCAAUAGAAUAAGCUUCCAAAACACUCCAAAAUGCUGCAAAGCUGUCUACCGUAAUUUUUAGGGAAUUCAUAUUCGUUAACAAAAGCACUUUGCUGCUCAUUGUGACUAAGUCUCAAAUCAGAGAACUCUAGCCAAAAGAAGCUAUGGGAAUUGACCUUUUCACUAGUAACAAACCACUGACUUUGUGGAAAUAUAGGAGUAGAUGCUUGCCCUUUUCUUCAGACAAGGUGUGGUAUGUGUUAGUGGAAUUACAGAAAAAUACUACGUUCCAUUAAAUAAGCAGUUUCCAUUCCAUUCACUGAACAAGAACCUGCUGCUGGGGAAACUGUUGUAUUAUUUCUUUUGUACGCUUCCAUUUAGAGAAGGAUUUUGACAGUUGAGGCAUCUUGGAUAAUGAACGGAGAGAAAGAAGCAAAGAAAAGCCACAAUUGCUGGCAUUGCAAUAGCUCUUUGGACACAAUGGAUCUGGCGGUUGGGACAGGAAAUUUGUAAAGCUGCUAUUCUUCCAUGCUGGGACUUGUGAGAACAUCACAGAAAUACCAGGCCUGACUCUGAUGCUUACUUUUGGCUGUUGGUAUGUCCUCCAUAGAGGAGAAAUGACAAGUAAAGAGCUGAUCCACAAGAUCUCAUGGCUUUAAUGCUCCCCUAAAAAUUGAUAUGUACGUACUUCAGGCCUUGCUGUUACUGAAUAUCAGGCCAGAUGGUGUAUGUAUGUUCUAUACGUAUACAUGUAUAUCUAUACAUUUAUGCAUAUACAUGGAAAGAAAAACAACCACAAAUGUUUUCUUGCAGGGUGAAUUGGUUUUGGAUAAUUUCCAUUUCCCUUCUGUUCAGCUACAAGAGUAUCCUAUCAUGAAGCAAGACAGACACCUAGUGUCUGGUUCAUGGAGUAAAUCUGCAGCUCACAUGCCCAUGGUUGCUGUGUGGUACUGAUUCUUGAGACCGGUUCAAUAUAUGCUUGUCUGUAUGGACCUUCAGAAGUAACAAAUGAAAUGCAAAAAUAAGAAUUAUAAUGGCCAAGUAUAUGUCUAUUAGAGAUGACAUUAGAGAAACAACAUUCUUGAUACCCUACUUUGAUUGUAAGGAAAUGAUUUCUGAAUCUCUAGAAGGUUGCUAUUUACAAUCUCUAAUAAAACUCAGGUG